This 492-nucleotide long non-coding RNA is filed under the name Numida meleagris (helmeted guineafowl). Its description in RNAcentral is "lncRNA (ENSNMEG00000004692.1)". The record is from RNAcentral. Lineage: Eukaryota; Metazoa; Chordata; Aves; Galliformes; Numididae.
UCAUCCUGUGCUGCACCCACUGAGGUAUCCCCCGCGAGGCCUAAUCAGUAGCGUUGUGCCAUUCAGCAACUGCUGCCAGAACUGGAAUCGUGCUGUCACGAGUCUCAGAUGACUUACAGGACCAAGUGAACUGCAUAAUUCAGGAGCAGGCUGCAGUGGCUUUCCUGAGAUCUGAAUGGUCAGAAUCUAAUCCUCUCAUCACCUGAACAACUCGCAGACAGCAGUGGUCUCUUUGAAAAUCUGGUCCAUGCUGCUGCUUGCUGGGCCUUGAGGCAACACAGUUACAUUGAAGAGCCUCUGGCAAUGCUGGCUUACACAGAAACUCAAGAACUGCCAUGUGCCUGACAUCAUACCUUUGGAAGAAAAGAGAAGUCCUGGGUGUUAGCCCAAGACUGGUGAGUAAAACAUAGUCCACGGACUAGAGUCAGUUUAUGUUUGUUAGUGAUUUUCAGGCCUGUCACACCCAGUAUCUUCGCCCUGUAAAUCUGUCAC